GAUGAACGCUGGCGGCGUGCCUAAUACAUGCAAGUCGAGCGAACAGAUGAGGAGCUUGCUCCUCUGACGUUAGCGGCGGACGGGUGAGUAACACGUGGAUAACCUACCUAUAAGACUGGGAUAACUUCGGGAAACCGGAGCUAAUACCGGAUAAUAUAUUGAACCGCAUGGUUCAAUAGUGAAAGACGGUUUUGCUGUCACUUAUAGAUGGAUCCGCGCCGCAUUAGCUAGUUGGUAAGGUAACGGCUUACCAAGGCAACGAUGCGUAGCCGACCUGAGAGGGUGAUCGGCCCACCUGGAACUGAGAAACGGUCCAGACUCCUAAGGGAGGCAGCCGUAGGGAAUCUUCCGCAAUGGGCGAAAGCCUGACGGAGCAAAGCCGCGUGAGUGAUGAAGGUCUUCGGAUCGUAAAACCCUGUUAUUAGGGAAGAACAAAUGUGUAAGUAAAUAUGCACGUCUUGACGGUACCUAAUCAGAAAGCCACGGCUAAAUACGUG
Molecule: ribosomal RNA, 497 nt
Filed under: uncultured bacterium
Lineage: Bacteria
Description: partial 16S ribosomal RNA
Rfam family: Bacterial small subunit ribosomal RNA
Source: RNAcentral